This is a long non-coding RNA of Gallus gallus (chicken), 7846 nucleotides long. NCBI's taxonomy places the organism in Eukaryota, Metazoa, Chordata, Aves, Galliformes, Phasianidae. The record is from Ensembl.
GUUACAACCACCUGUUUUCCAGACUGUUAUCCUAAGUUACAAGAAAACUGAAGUUUUGAAUUUUCACUGAACCUAAGAGGAUGUUUUAUUGAUAUUUGGACAACAAUGACAAAAAAAAAAAAAAACAACCCUCAAAAACAAAGGUCAAGUCAAUAACUAAGAACGGUUUUAACAGUACUUUGUGAUGAGUGGAUAUUGUAAGUGAAAACAUGACUAAUAGAGUUAUAAACUUUAGUACUUGAAUAUGCCUGUUUCACCUACAUUCUUGUAAAGGCCAUAAUCUUUGUCAUACUAUGUAAAUGCCACGGCAGCGUUCUUGAACUUACUGAGGAGUGCAGGAAAUCAAAGGGAAGUAAAGAAAGAAGCCGUUAGCAGAAGUGAAAAGAUUAAAACACCAGCUCUUCUGAGACAAGUACAAAUGAUGUAAAUAAAAAACCAGGGGUCAUGCAGCACCAGCUUUCUUAAUAAAAAGUUGUAAUUAAGAUAGAAAAUGUCACAAGAAAGGCUGCCUGCAUUUUUCCCUUUGAAAUGUAUUUCCAUUAUAUAUAUUUUUAAGAAUAAUGACAUAAAUAGAUCAUAAGCUGUAUGGAACGCACUUGGAUCUUGUUCAUGCUCUGGAUUCCUGACUGAUAGCAUAGUUAACAGCAGCAGCUUCAGUUAUUAAAAUAUUCCUGACUCAGACAUACAUGCAAAUGCAUAUCUUUUAUUAUUAUUAUUAUUAUUUACCAACACAUUUAGUUUCUAAUUAUUUGCCUUAUGUCAGCUGAUAACUUAGAAUAUACACAGGACACAUUUCCCAAUUAAUCUAUCAGAACCCUGAAGGAAGAUCUUCUUUCUCAUGUAACAGCUGGCUUUUUCAAAAAAUGCAUGACCAUAACUGGAGCUAAAAACCUCGAAAAUUAUCUUGAAAACAGACUUUGUAAUACUGUGAACUAGAAAAUACUGUUAUUAAAGAAAAUAAUUUCCAGCCUAAAUAAUGCUAUUUCUGAUCAAGGAAAACAAUGGGCCAACAAAUUAACACCAAUGUCUCAAUAAGAAGACUGUGCCUUUAUGUUAUCAGAACACAGAUGCCAGAGUGCUUUAGAAGCUAGGGAGGUUUCCAUGUUUAAAAACUCUAAGUAGUCACACCUCUAAGGAAUUAAUUUGGUAUUUGCUGCUAAAACUGAUAAACAGUGAUGACAACAACUAUGACAUACGAAUAGGAUGCUUUGUACAACCCUCUGUAAAUAAAACUCAGCCAAUUUCCUUGUUUGUAAAUAGUCAUUUUUGGUAGCUCUAAUCAGGUUCUAACUGGCAAGUGUUGACCUGAGGAAGCCAAGCUGGAAAAGGUUUUAUCAGCUUCCUAACUGAAUUUCUUCUCAUGAUCAGAAAGAUGUACACACAUUUAUUCCAAAUCAGUAUGGAACAAUGAAUUUGAAGUCUGUCUUUACUCCAGGCCAACAACAGAAUUCUUUGUUCCGUUUUCCCUUCAGUAUCCUAUGCUUAAAGCUAUAAGCUGCUCUGAGGAUAGUCUCUCAAUCUUUCCUGAUAAAACUUAUCAUAGAAUCAUAGAAUCCUCAGAGUUAGAAGAGACCUUUAAAGAUCAUCUAUUCCAACUCCUUGCAAUGAACAGGGACACCCCCAGCUAGAUCAGGUUGCUCAGAGCCUGGUCCAGACUGGCCUUGAAAGUCUCCAGGGAUGGGACAUCCACCACAUCUCCAGGCAAUGUGUGCCUCACCACCCUCAUUUGAUCACAUCCCACUGGCAAACCUCUGAGAAGACAAUGAAACACUCAUGCUAAAGGUACAAUAGGUGUGGUUACUGCUUGUGUGCUAACAGUGCUGUUGUUUUCUCUUUUUGGCAGGUGAAAAAAUAAUUGUGAAAAGACCUCUGCACAGCCACAAUUUCAAAAGACAGUAUUUUUUUUUGCCUUAAUUUACACCGUAGAAUCUAAAUUUGGCGCUUGAAGUACCUUCAGCAACUUCUAAUGCAGAUUCACUCCUAAAUUUUAGGAGACAGAAAAUGAUGUUUUAUCACAGAUUAGUUGGUAGUUUCCCUUCUCCUGUUUUAAAGUCUGUCAAUCUGACCGGUUUUUUAUUAAUUUAUUCAGUAGCUAUGGUGACAGUUCAUCUCUGUCAAUCAGCAGCAAAGGUCUAAGCCAUACCUCUCUGAAAACAAUUCCAGAAAUAUAAUAUUCUGUAGAUAAAACAAUUAUGAGACUGGAUUAACAUUAACAAAAUUAAUAUGUAUUCUCACAGUGAGAUUAUGCUCAUCUCCCUAUGACAUUUAUUUUUGCCAUCGCACAAGUGCACACAGUAAGAAAAUGAAACCAUCUGCACUGAGCAUUAGGAUCACACUACCCAAACCCGAUGAGAGAAGACUGAUGCUGGGAAAACAGGACAAAACAGAUGAAAUUUUAAAUGAUUUUUUCCUCUACUAAUAUUUCAUGCUGGUCUCCUUCACAGGAUUAGUUCCCAAAUAGCCUCUGACUACAUGAAUUGCUCCACAAAUUGUCUCACAGAGCCAUACAGUGUUAUCAUCAAAAAAUAUAUAUUUAAUAAUACAGCUAUCACAAUCAAAAUCUCGAGAAUUAAAAUCCUCCAUGAUCAAAGUUCUGGCUCUCUUGCAGACUUUUUUUCUUUUAAAUCAGCAAUACAUGUUGUUAUCUGCUUUUCUUAACUGCCCUCAAGGGUUACAAUAACUGGAUUAUUUUAUUGUUCUUAUCUAUUAAAGCUUUCCAGUGUACCAGACAAAAUACUUAACUAGCUCUCUGUUGGCAGCCCAAUACCAUCUCGCAUCGAUUGAACCAAAAGAUUCCUUUGCCUUAUCUUGUUCAGUGUAGACCAGAUUUCCUGCUGCUCACUGCUAAAAAUAUUUAGUGAUUUUACUUCCCAAGGAAGCUCUGAUUUCUGUUCAGUAGACUGUACUGGGUAUGGUCUAGGGAAAUUUUUUUUCUAUGUUUGUUGUUUUUAUCCUUUGUCUUCCAAUUCCCAUUUGUUCUGACAAGUUAAGUAUUAUUGGGACCUACAGUUGGACUGUCUCUUCCUUCACCUCCUCUUUCUUUUCGCAUCUAGCCUAGAAGUGUUUGCUGCCUACUUUAAAUAAAUAGUUAAUGUACAUUCUCCUCACAGGUCUCCUAAGCAUCUUUGAACAGCAGUUCUACCAGUGUCACUGUUCCACAUGCAUGCAAAAUCACUCAGAAAUCUGACUGUAAACCUGUAUUAGCAGCAGUUCCUAUCACAGCAGGAACAUCUUCACGCUGUGUUACCAGAGAAAGAACUAAGGAUAAAGACAGAUACGAAGCUAAUAUGUCUGAGAAGGUGAUAAAGCACUGCAAGGCAGCUCUAUUAAUAACUGCAUAUAUCUGAGUCAGAUAGAGGGAAAUAAGAGGGCCACAACUGUUACAGGAUACAUCCAACCUUUUUUCCCCUUACCUAACAAAUGAAGGAAUUACUAUGCCAUGAACUGACACAAUACGAAUAGGGGUAUUUCCUACUGAUACUUCAGUUGAGAACACUUUUCAUUAUCACCAACUUUAACAUACCAGCAAAAGAUCAACUCACUAUAAUUCUGAGUACUUUGGUCAUUAUAAACAAUAUACUGUUGCAAUAUACUUCAAUGUUAGGGACAAAAAACCUUGUACAUUCAAAGUGCAAUAUUUUCUAAAAAAGAUAUCAGAUGGCUGAUGAGAUUUGGGGUUGUUCUGAAGAAAAUGCUGUGCUGGAAAAUCCAAGACUAAAAGCUAAUGAUGAAUUUGUAAAGCACUCAAGAUCACCUACACAACACAGAAGAAGCCAAGAAAGGACAGAUAACAGAGCAAUUCUCAACUGACAGUUCGAAGAAUCAAUUUUUGUUUUUAUCUCACUUGCUAUGAAAUUAAUGAGGUUUUCAUAGUAUAGUAGUGCAAAGACCUACCAUCUGUGUAAAUUCCUGAACUCACUGAAUUUUCCUUUGUCUGGCACCUUCUGUACUGCCCAGCAGUGUUCCCACUUUGUUUAUACAUUUGACAGUCUAAGCGUAUUUUCUUUUCCAGGGCAGGCAGCCCUCAGCUCUAGCUGUCUACAUUGUGAAGCUGACUCCACACAAAUCAACACAUGCUUUAAACUUGUCCUCAUAGUGUCUCAGUUGUGUACUGAUCUCUCAUCUAUUCACCAUGAUUUACAACAAAAUAAAGGGGUGUGGGGAGGAACAACAGGAGACACAGAUUCUAGCACUUUGCAGUAUACACAUUUCAUAACAACUGAAACAGAUAACUUUACGGGCGUACCACUACAAUACUAUCUAACCAUACUCUUGAAUUUAAGUUUUUGAAAUCAACUUAUGCAAAUAUAUAAAUAUUUAAGGCCAGGAAAUAUGGAAAGGGAUGUAAUAAUACUCCAGUCAAAAUGCUGCAACUACACAGAGAAGCUGUAACAACAGAUUGCUUUGUAGAAAUUUACUUCUGUUUGAAGUUCAUUGAUUUUCAUUCCAGCCAUUUAUUUUGCUAAGCAGUAGUUUUGAGCACCUAUUGAUCAUCAUGUUCUGAUGUGGCAGGCUUCUGAGAAAAAAAGUUAAACUAACUAGAACUAAUGAGCAAUUAAACUUGCUCACACAAGUACAGUUGUGGUUUAAUGGUGGCAAGCACAUGACAUGAAGAACAAUGUGUCCAUUUUCUCAGACUUAUUUUCAAAUAAUGCUUAAAAAAAAUUCAGAUUCAUUAUCUAGACAAUAACACAUUAAACAGAGAAACAGAUUUUAACACGUGUUGUACACCAUGCAUACAUAAAUGUAAAAGAAAUUAAGCACUGGAGACCCAUUUUGAUCUACUUUUCUUCUGCUCUUCUACGUAAAUAUAACAUCCUUCUCUUCUAGACAAAAAGAGUAAUACUCUGUCUUAACUUUUCCAUACAUUUUUUUUAUCUUCAGUAUUAAACUGUUGAAGCUCAUUUCCCAUUUCUUAUACCAUGUUCCCUAGUUCUUAACUAUUUUGUGCAUUUGUCAAAUGGUCUUUGGAUCCUACCAUUUCUUUUCUUUCCCAUGAAAAGGUGAUUCAUUUCUGAAGGAAGGACUCAAUUAAGAUUUCCAGCAAAAAUUAUGUUUCAGGAGAGGACAAAAUGGGCACAUGUGAUAUCCAACAGUUGAUGAUUAACAGUGUUGCACUAAAGUCUCUGGAAUCACAAAACAACCCAAUCCUUGCUGAGGGAAAAUUGUAUUUUAAAAGUUCAGUAUUCACUUAUUAUAAUGCAGUUAUUGCAUUACAACCUUAGAUGAAUUCCAGAAAUAAAUGAAACGACAAUAUUUUUCUUGAGGUAAAUUCAAAAACCACUAAUAAAGGAAAUCUGCUAGGUUCAAAAAAAAUCAUUUGCUGAGAGCAAUACUUCCAAGUCUGCAUCAGGGUGGGUAGAAAACAAGAGAUUAAGAAUAUAGAAUAUGAAGAAUAUGAGAUGAAAAGAAAAAAAAAUAUGUUGCUUUUUGGAAGCUGAGGAAAAGCCUGAACACAUAAGCCAAGGAAUAAUGGUUUUGGGUUUUUUUUGUUUGUUUUUUCAAGUAACAUACCCAAAAAUCUAAUGAAAGGAAACAAAAUCUCACAGGCCAAGGCAGCAGUAUUUGAGAACCAGAUCCAAGAUGAAAUCCUCAGGCUACAUGGGCUUUUUCUUGAAAAUUGGAUUGCAAAAGCUUAACAGCUUGCAACUGAAGAUGACCCACUUUGCAUUGAAAAGACAUACAGAAUCCCCUUUAAGAAAAUAAUAACAAUAAUAAUAAAUAUAUAUAUGUCUUGAGUAGAAGGCAGAAUCACACUUAGCCUCUCAGGUCAGAGAUGCAAGGGAAGGAUCCACCUCACGGCAGCAUAAAAGGACAGCCAACUUUUCUAAUAUGCUUUAAGUCUUACAUUUCUUUCUUGUCUAAAGUGCCAUAACUGCAGCAAAGACUGAGGUUAGCACUGCCAAAGAAGAGAAGUAGACAUUUCUUUUAUAUUAAGAGGAAAAAAGAUCUCACAUUUCUUUACCAAAUAUUGGGAAAAGCAGGAUCGACAUACCUUCACAGCUUUCCCCAUUAUUGCAAAGAUAUGCCUUUCACAUGUCCAGAGGUCUACAGCUUUGUAAUACCUCCGUAGCCAAACAGAAAAGAAAAACCUAAUAUAUCAAAGUAUUAAUAAGCCUUAAUAAUUGACUUUCAAUGUUGUUUUUUUUUUUUUUUUUUUGGAAUAACAUUCCAUGCACAGCACUCCAGAAGUCACAUACAAAAAAUUUCCAACCAGCUCUGUGUUUUUAUCACAGAAUAUAGAACCAAGUAACGAGCAGCAAACAUUUCAUUUUCUAACUGGUAGUGAUCACAAAGGUACUGAUUUCUACAUAGUCUUCACUUGUUCAGCACCCUUGAAGACAAGAUAUGAAUAGUAAAUCACCCAUAUGAAAACUGAAAUUAGAGAAUCUCUUUGACCUUUAUAUUUGCAUUUCUUCCAUUACAGAAUAUAAAUAAAUUCAUAUAUUUCAUAAUGGGAAUUGUAAAACUUAUGCAAAUAUUGAUUCAGUACUUUGAUAAGAGAAUUUAUUUUCAAAUAGCAGGAGGAACAAUGAUCAAACAUUACCAAAAAAAUUCCUUAGGAAAUGCAAUCAAACAUGAAAAGUACUAUAUUCUUCUUUGCAGAAAAGCAUUUACAUUGCAAUACCUUCUAUAUCUAUAAAUCAGUUUCUUGUGUUGGCUAGCCAGUUUUUAAAUUGAUUUCUUUUUAAUAUUCAGGUCUUCCACCAUCAAUAGCAACACUUCAGAGUUAAACCAUUCAACAGCUCGCUUCCCAUUUUUUGGCUUUAUUUUUCCCCCAAAUUCCAUGACAGUAGCCUUAAAUCACAUAAAUCAAAUGAACUUUAGAGAGAGAAAAAAAACCAACAGAAUCUACAAACUUCAAACUGUUUUGUCAAAAAAAGUUCUUCUAGGUUAAACAUCUUGGAGAAUCAUCUUAAGUGGAAUGAUAAAUUAAAAUUACUCAAAAAAGAAAUAUUACCUGACUUUCUACUGCUAUUAUAAAAGACCGAAAAGUAGAACUGUAUCUUUUUACAGAUAAUUGUAGAGAUUUUACACUCCAAAGGACUUCUCAUAUUAGUUUUCUUACCUUUUCUCCACUUACAUAAAUGGACAUGAGAUAAAAUAUUCCAUUUCCAUUAUAUCUCAUAGUUUAACAGUUACGUCAAAAUGUUAAUCAGAAGAAUUCAAAAUAUUGUUAUAAAGCCUCCUAGGAACAUUUUAUUUUCUAGUUCUACAUAUAUCUCCUUGAUAUGCUCUAGCUCUUAUUUGUAGUUUUUUUUUUUUUUUGUAGACCAUAGAUCACCAUUCUUAUUUGUAGAUCAUUUUUCUCCCUUGUACCAAGGUGUUCCAUUCCUUCCUUCAUAGUUAUUGUCCACUUAAAUCUGUAUUUAUCCCUUUUAUUCCAUUCUUAGAUACAUAAUUGACCUACACCUGAAAAGUAAAUACUCAGACCUCUUUGAAAGUCUUGUGUAAAUAAAAAUUGUAGUUAAGAUCUAAACUAAGAGCAAACUUAAAUAAAGUACGCUUUUCUCACUGAGGUUCAGCGAAUGUCAUGAAGGAAAAAGGAAAGUCGUUCAGAUCUGCAUACAUAAUUAGAAACUUGCUUAAAUGAAGUUUGAAGAGAUUUGCAGAGAUUCUUUUUUCUUAUAAACAAGUUUAAAGAUUUUUGAAAUGGUUAGUUGGCCUGCAUUCAAAAAUACCAAGAGGGGUGCACUAAGGAACAUAACUUUUAUGAUUAUUUAAUUUUUUUUAGAUUGCCAAGUCAAGUGUGCUUUAAACUAGUCUCUUGUGAAUGUACAUAAUAAAAAAAAUUCUAUUUCAGCAGAUAAUUUUUUCAGGUGAUUUGCUUGCAGCAAAAUAAAAU